RNAcentral lists this ribosomal RNA (230 nucleotides) under uncultured bacterium. Its description in RNAcentral is "partial 16S ribosomal RNA". It matches the Rfam family "Bacterial small subunit ribosomal RNA", at positions 562 to 791 of the family's 1533-position model. The record is from RNAcentral.
AAAGCGUGCGCAGGCGGUUGUGCAAGUCUGAUGUGAAAGCCCCGGGCUUAACCUGGGAACGGCAUUGGAGACUGCACGACUAGAGUGCGUCAGAGGGGGGUAGAAUUCCACGUGUAGCAGUGAAAUGCGUAGAGAUGUGGAGGAAUACCGAUGGCGAAGGCAGCCCCCUGGGAUGACACUGACGCUCAUGCACGAAAGCGUGGGGAGCAAACAGGAUUAGAUACCCCAGU